GCACUUGACCAAGGUAGGACUAAGCCAGUGGAUCACAAACAUCCUGGAGAGCAGUGACUCUGUGAUUCCAUCACAAGAAUAUGAAGGACUGAGAAGAUCUCCAGCUCUGCCCAUUGCACCUUCCCAUUGAGAAGCAGCAUGGCACCCUGGUGGCAGGGGCUGAUACUCAGCCGGGCCAGGGUGCUCUCCUGUUAACCAUAACCAAGCUCACAGGACAUGGGAUGAGCCCACUGUGUGACAC
RNAcentral lists this long non-coding RNA (241 nucleotides) under Homo sapiens (human). RNAcentral describes it as "non-protein coding lnc-COL4A1-2:3". Lineage: Eukaryota; Metazoa; Chordata; Mammalia; Primates; Hominidae. The record is from RNAcentral.